RNAcentral lists this ribosomal RNA (861 nucleotides) under uncultured bacterium. RNAcentral's name for it is "bacterial SSU rRNA". It matches the Rfam family "Bacterial small subunit ribosomal RNA", at positions 50 to 899 of the family's 1533-position model. The record is from RNAcentral.
CGAGCCUGCAGUUCGAACGGCAGCACGAGGAGCUUGCUCCUUGGUGGCGAGUGGCGGACGGGUGAGUAAAGCGUAGGGAUCUGCCUUUUGGCGGGGGAUAACUCGGGGAAACUCGAGCUAAUACCGCAUAGAUUCUGAGGAAUAAAGCUAGGUUUUCGGAUCUGGCACCAGAAGAUGAACCUACGUUGGAUUAGCUAGUUGGGGGGGUAACGGCUCCCCAAGGCGACGAUCCAUAGCUGGUUUGAGAGGAUGAUCAGCCACACUGGGACUGAGACACGGCCCAGACUCCUACGGGAGGCAGCAGUGGGGAAUAUUGGACAAUGGGGGCAACCCUGAUCCAGCGAUGCCGCGUGUGUGAAGAAGGCCUGCGGGUUGUAAAGCACUUUAGUGAGUGAGGAAGGGUAGUUGAUUAAGAGUUGACUACUUUGACGUUAGCUCAAGAAUAAGCACCGGCUAACUCUGUGCCAGCAGCCGCGGUAAUACAGAGGGUGCAAGCGUUAAUCGGAGUUACUGGGCGUAAAGGGCGCGUAGGCGGGCUGUUAAGUUAGAUGUGAAAGCCCUGGGCUUAACCUGGGAAUUGCAUUUAAGACUGGCGGUCUAGAGUAGAGAAGAGGUAAGCGGAAUUUCCGGUGUAGCGGUGAAAUGCGUAGAUAUCGGAAGGAACACCCGUGGCGAAGGCGGCUUACUGGUCUCAUACUGACGCUGAGGCGCGAAAGCGUGGGUAGCGAACAGGAUUAGAUACCCUGGUAGUCCACGCUGUAAACGAUGAGUACUAGCUGUUGGGGACUUAGGUUCUCAGUAGCGCAGCAAACGCCCCUAAAUACUCCCCCCCCGGGGGAGUAUCGGCCCCCAAGGCUAAAC